This 1871-nucleotide small RNA is filed under the name Pan troglodytes (chimpanzee). RNAcentral's name for it is "retained intron". Lineage: Eukaryota; Metazoa; Chordata; Mammalia; Primates; Hominidae. The record is from RNAcentral.
CUCUUAGAAAAGGCACCAGCGCCCCUGCCCAAGAGCCCCUCCAGGCUCCUGCUACCCCCUCAUUCUCUACUAGCUCUUUUGCACCGCCCUCCUGCCCCCCUUAGUCCCGCCCCUCUCGGCCUGCGGUAGUGGAAGGAGACCAGCCCCUUCCAGGGGACCUGGCCCUCUGGGUUUUGGGGCCCUAAGAUGCCCGCCCUUAUGUGCCGCAGGCCUCCGCUUCUGCAACCCCGGCUGGGACGCCUUCCAGGGCGCCUGCUACAAGCACUUUUCCACACGAAGGAGCUGGGAGGAGGCAGAGACCCAGUGCCGGAUGUACGGCGCGCAUCUGGCCAGCAUCAGCACGCCCGAGGAACAGGACUUCAUCAACAGUGGGCUGGGAGACAGGGCGGGAGGGGCCCCCGCCAUAUGCUCUCACUCUCUCUCACUCGCCUAACCGCCUUCCUCAUUAACCCAUGCACUUAUUCCUUGGUUUUCUCAAGCGUGCAUUCCCUCACUCAUUCGUUCACUCCCCUUCUCAUUCUCUCUCCCUUCCCACCCUACGCUUAGGCAGUGGCCUUCGGGAACGGAGAGUGGAGGUUCGCGCAGUAGAGUGCGCCUGUGUGGGCCGGGCCGCCGUGCAGGGGGCCGCCUCCAAUCCCUCCAACCUCCCUGCUCUCCGACCUCCGUCGGCCUCCUCCGACUCCAACUCCAAUCUUGUUGAAAGUUUUGACUCUUUUUCCAAAACUCCCCUUUUCUAGCCUGGGUUGAUAUCUUCCUUAUUCUCCCACCCCCAUUCCCCUGCUUUCCAUCUGGCCCUUGAGCAGAGGCUGGGGUAGAAGAACCCGACAAGGGCAGGUGCUGGAUCGCGGGGAAGGGUUUCCAAGGCAGUCACCGCAGACCGCCCGGGAGCGGGGAACGGCCGCCAUCUGCUGGCGGCUGCGCUCACUGCACGCCUUCGUCUCCCUAGACCGGUACCGGGAGUACCAGUGGAUCGGACUCAACGACAGGACCAUCGAAGGCGACUUCUUGUGGUCGGAUGGCGUCCCCCUGCUCUAUGAGAACUGGAACCCUGGGCAGCCUGACAGCUACUUCCUGUCUGGAGAGAACUGCGUGGUCAUGGUGUGGCAUGAUCAGGGACAAUGGAGUGACGUGCCCUGCAACUACCACCUGUCCUACACCUGCAAGAUGGGGCUGGUGUCCUGUGGGCCGCCACCGGAGCUGCCCCUGGCUCAAGUGUUCGGCCGCCCACGGCUGCGCUAUGAGGUGGACACUGUGCUUCGCUACCGGUGCCGGGAAGGACUGGCCCAGCGCAAUCUGCCGCUGAUCCGAUGCCAAGAGAACGGUCGUUGGGAGGCCCCCCAGAUCUCCUGUGUGCCCAGAAGACCUGCCCGAGCUCUGCACCCAGAGGAGGACCCAGAAGGACGUCAGGGGAGGCUACUGGGACGCUGGAAGGCGCUGUUGAUCCCCCCUUCGAGCCCCAUGCCAGGUCCCUAGGGGGCAAGGCCUUGAACACUGCCGGCCACAGCACUGCCCUGUCACCCAAAUUUUCCCUCACACCCUGCGCUCCCGCCACCACAGGAAGUGACAACAUGACGAGGGGUGGUGCUGGAGUCCAGGUGACAGUUCCUGAAGGGGCUUCUGGGAAAUACCUACGAGGCUCCAGCCCAGCCCAGGCCCUCUCCCCCUACCCUGGGCACCAGAUCUUCCAUCAGGGCCGGAGUAAAUCCCUAAGUGCCUCAACUGCCCUCUCCCUGGCAGCCAUCUUGUCCCCUCUAUUCCUCUAGGGAGCACUGUGCCCACUCUUUCUGGGUUUUCCAAGGGAAUGGGCUUGCAGGAUGGAGUGUCUGUAAAAUCAACAGGAAAUAAAACUGUGUAUGAGCCCAGGCAAGUUG